This 269-nucleotide ribosomal RNA is filed under the name uncultured prokaryote. RNAcentral describes it as "partial 16S ribosomal RNA". It matches the Rfam family "Bacterial small subunit ribosomal RNA", at positions 524 to 792 of the family's 1533-position model. The record is from RNAcentral.
UACGGAGGGGGCAAGCGUUGUUCGGAUUCACUGGGUGUAAAGGGCGCGUAGGCGGUUUGGUAAGUUAGAUGUGAAAUCUCAAGGCUCAACCUUGAAACUGCAUUUAAUACUGCUGAACUAGAGUACGAAAGAGGGAGAUGGAAUUCUCGGUGUAAGAGUGAAAUCUGCAGAUAUCGAGAGGAACACCUGUAGCGAAGGCGAUCUCCUGGGUCGAUACUGACGCUGAAGUGCGAAAGCUAGGGGAGCGAACGGGAUUAGAUACCCCCGUA